GACGAACGCUGGCGGCGUGCCUAAUACAUGCAAGUCGAGCGGAGCGGCGGACGGGUGAGUAAUGCCAAGGAAUCUGCCUGGUAGUGGUAGUGAACGUCAGGAAACGGGCGCUAAUACCGCAUACUAUCAGAUGAGCCUAGGGCGGAAUAGCUAGGUGGUGGGGUAAGGGCCAACAAAGGCGACGAUCCGUAACUGGUCUGAGAGGAUGAUCAGUAACACGGGAACUGAGACACGGUCCAGACUCCUACGGGAGGCAGCAGGGGGGAAUAUUGGACAAUGGGCGAAAGCCUGAUCCAGCCAUGCCGCGUGUGUGAAGAAGGUCUUCGGAGUGUAAAGCACUUUAAGUUGGGAGGCGUUACCAACAGAAUAAGCACCGGCUAACUUCGUGCCAGCAGACGCGGUAAUAC
RNAcentral lists this ribosomal RNA (407 nucleotides) under uncultured bacterium. Its description in RNAcentral is "partial 16S ribosomal RNA". It matches the Rfam family "Bacterial small subunit ribosomal RNA", at positions 28 to 526 of the family's 1533-position model. The record is from RNAcentral.